UAGGGAAUCUUCCGCAAUGGGCGAAAGCCUGACGGAGCAACGCCGCGUGAGUGAUGAAGGUCUUCGGAUCGUAAAACUCUGUUAUUAGGGAAGAAUAAAUGUGUAAGUAACUAUGCACGUCUUGACGGUACCUAAUCAGAAAGCCACGGCUAACUACGUGCCAGCAGCCGCGGUAAUACGUAGGUGGCAAGCGUUAUCCGGAAUUAUUGGGCGUAAAGCGCGCGUAGGCGGUUUUUUAAGUCUGAUGUGAAAGCCCACGGCUCAACCGUGGAGGGUCAUUGGAAACUGGUUGACUUGAGUGCAGAAGAGGAGAGUGGAAUUCCAUGUGUAGCGGUGAAAUGCGCAGAGAUAUGGAGGAACACCAGUGGCGAAGGCGACUUUCUGGUCUGUAACUGACGCUGAUGUGCGAAAGCGUGGGGAUCAAACAGG
RNAcentral lists this ribosomal RNA (429 nucleotides) under Bacteroidota bacterium. Its description in RNAcentral is "Bacteroidetes bacterium partial 16S ribosomal RNA". It matches the Rfam family "Bacterial small subunit ribosomal RNA", at positions 355 to 776 of the family's 1533-position model. The record is from RNAcentral. Lineage: Bacteria; Pseudomonadati; Bacteroidota.